Molecule: long non-coding RNA, 437 nt
Filed under: Amborella trichopoda
Lineage: Eukaryota; Viridiplantae; Streptophyta; Magnoliopsida; Amborellales; Amborellaceae
Description: long non-coding RNA (ATRI_LNC001542)
Source: RNAcentral
CCUUUCCUCCCCAAAUCAAAAUCUAAUGGUAUAAAUUUAGAAAGAGAGAGAGAAAGAACCAAUCUGAAAAUUAGGGAAUAUGUACAAAAUGGUAUAAAAUACAAAAUAUUUAGAGAGAGAGAGGAGGGAAGAAGAGAACCCAACAUGAAAAAUAAAGGAAUAAUAUUAAAUGUUAUAAAUAUUUAGAGGUAUAAUUAACAUUUAGAGAGAGAAAAAAAGGGUACCCAAUGAAAAAAAUUAGGGGAGCACCCCAUUUAGAGGGAGAAAGGAGGACAGAGAGAACCAAUCUGAGAAAUUUUGGAAUAUAUAAAUAGAAGAGUGGAUGAGAUGGCGUGUUUAUUUUAGAGAGAGGAGAGAGAAAGGAACUCCAUUUUUAGAAUAUAUAAUUAAGGAUUAACAGGGGAGGAGAGAGGAAGGAUUCUAGAGAGACAAUUUUG